Molecule: ribosomal RNA, 404 nt
Filed under: Bacillota bacterium
Lineage: Bacteria; Bacillati; Bacillota
Description: Firmicutes bacterium partial 16S ribosomal RNA
Rfam family: Bacterial small subunit ribosomal RNA
Source: RNAcentral
UAGGGAAUAUUGCACAAUGGGGGAAACCCUGAUGCAGCGACGCCGCGUGAGCGAAGAAGUAUCUCGGUAUGUAAAGCUCUAUCAGCAGGGAAGAAGAUGACGGUACCUGACUAAGAAGCACCGGCUAAAUACGUGCCAGCAGCCGCGGUAAUACGUAUGGUGCAAGCGUUAUCCGGAUUUACUGGGUGUAAAGGGAGCGUAGACGGAGAAGCAAGUCUGGAGUGAAAACCCGGGGCUCAACCCCGGGACUGCUUUGGAAACUGUUUGUCUGGAGUGCCGGAGAGGUAAGCGGAAUUCCUAGUGUAGCGGUGAAAUGCGUAGAUAUUAGGAGGAACACCAGUGGCGAAGGCGGCUUACUGGACGGUAACUGACGUUGAGGCUCGAAAGCGUGGGGAGCAAACAGG